GAGUUGAUCCCUGGCUCAGGACGAACGCUGGCGGCGUGCCUACACCAUGCAAGUCGAGCGAAUGAAGUUCCUUCGGGAACGGAUUUAGCGGCGGACGGGUGAGUAACACGUGGGCAACCCGCUUCAUAGAGGGGAAUAGCCUUCCGAAAGGGAGAUUAAUACCGCAUAAGAUUGUAGUACCGCAUGGUACAGCAAUUAAAGGAGCAAUCCGCUAUGAGAUGGGCCCGCGGCGCAUUAGCUAGUUGGUGAGGUAACGGCUCACCAAGGCGACGAUGCGUAGCCGACCUGAGAGAGUGAACGGCCACAUUGGGACUGAGACACGGCCCAAACUCCUACGGGAGGCAGCAGUGGGGAAUAUUGCACAAUGGGGGAAACCCUGAUGCAGCGACGCCGCGUGAGUGAUGAAGUAUUUCGGUACGUAAAGCUCUAUCAGCAGGGAAGAUAAUGACGGUACCUGACUAAGAAGCUCCGGCUAAAUACGUGCCAGCAGCCGCGGUAAUACGGAGGGUGCAAGCGUUAAUCGGAAUAACUGGGCGUAAAGGGCAUGCAGGCGGUCGGACAAGUAGGAUGUGAAAUCCUGGGGCUCAACCUCAGAACUGCAUUCUAAACUGUCCGACUAGAGUAUUGCAGGGGGAGACGGAAUUUCAGGUGUAGCGGUGGAAUGCGUAGAUAUCUGAAAGAACACCAAAGGCGAAGGCAGUCUCCUGGGCAAAUACUGACGCUCAUAUGCGAAAGCGUGGGUAGCAAACAGGAUUAGAUACCCUGGUAGUCCACGCCGUAAACGAUGUCAAUUAGGAGCUUGGACUUAAGUCUGGGUUCCGUAGCAAACGCAAUAAAU
RNAcentral lists this ribosomal RNA (838 nucleotides) under uncultured bacterium. RNAcentral's name for it is "bacterial SSU rRNA". It matches the Rfam family "Bacterial small subunit ribosomal RNA", at positions 9 to 865 of the family's 1533-position model. The record is from RNAcentral.